CCCUUAGAUGUUCUGGGCUGCACGCGCGCUACACUGAAGCGUUCAACGAGUAUUCACCUUGCCCGGGAGGGUUGGGUAAUCUUUUGAAAACGCUUCGUGAUGGGGAUAGAUUAUUGCAAUUAUUAAUCUUCAACGAGGAAUUCCUAGUAAGCGCGAGUCAUCAGCUCGUGCUGAUUACGUCCCUGCCCUUUGUACACACCGCCCGUCGCACCUACCGAUUGAAUGGUCCGGUGAAGCCUCGGGAUUGCGAAUGCUUCGUGCGGACGCGAGAACUUGGCUAAACCUUACCAUUUAGAGGAAGGUGAAGUCGUAACA
Molecule: ribosomal RNA, 315 nt
Filed under: uncultured eukaryote
Lineage: Eukaryota
Description: partial 18S ribosomal RNA
Rfam family: Eukaryotic small subunit ribosomal RNA
Source: RNAcentral